RNAcentral lists this ribosomal RNA (438 nucleotides) under uncultured bacterium. RNAcentral's name for it is "partial 16S ribosomal RNA". It matches the Rfam family "Bacterial small subunit ribosomal RNA", at positions 339 to 795 of the family's 1533-position model. The record is from RNAcentral.
CUACGGGUGGCGCAGUGGGGAAUAUUGCACAAUGGAGGAAACUCUGAUGCAGCAACGCCGCGUGGAGGAUGACACUUUUCGGAGCGUAAACUCCUUUUAUAUAGGAAGAAGAUGACGGUACUAUAUGAAUAAGCGCCGGCUAACUCCGUGCCAGCAGCCGCGGUAAUACGGAGGGCGCAAGCGUUACUCGGAAUCACUGGGCGUAAAGAGCGUGUAGGCGGAUUAAAAAGUAAGAAGUGAAAUCCUAUAGCUUAACUAUAGAACUGCUUCUGAAACUCUUAAUCUAGAAUAUGGGAGAGGUAGAUGGAAUUUCUGGUGUAGGGGUAAAAUCCGUAGAGAUCAGAAGGAAUACCGAUUGCGAAGGCGAUCUACUAGAACAUUAUUGACGCUGAGACGCGAAAGCGUGGGGAGCAAACAGGAUUAGAUACCCUUGUAGUC